This 971-nucleotide ribosomal RNA is filed under the name Enterococcus faecium. Its description in RNAcentral is "partial 23S ribosomal RNA". It matches the Rfam family "Bacterial large subunit ribosomal RNA", at positions 254 to 1229 of the family's 2925-position model. The record is from RNAcentral. Lineage: Bacteria; Bacillati; Bacillota; Bacilli; Lactobacillales; Enterococcaceae.
CGAAACGGGAAAAGCCCAAACCAGCAAGCUUGCUUGUUGGGGUUGUAGGACUCCAAUAUGGUAGUUCUUUCAGAUAGUCGAAUGACUUGGAAAAGUCAGUCAAAGAGGGUAAAAACCCCGUAGACGAAAUGUGGAAGACACCUAGGAGGAUCCUGAGUACGGCGGAACACGAGAAAUUCCGUCGGAAUCCGGGAGGACCAUCUCCCAAGGCUAAAUACUCCCUAGUGACCGAUAGUGAACCAGUACCGUGAGGGAAAGGUGAAAAGCACCCCGGAAGGGGAGUGAAAUAGAACCUGAAACCGUGUGCCUACAACAAGUCAAAGCCCGUUAAUGGGUGAUGGCGUGCCUUUUGUAGAAUGAACCGGCGAGUUACGAUUGCAUGCGAGGUUAAGUUGAAGAGACGGAGCCGCAGCGAAAGCGAGUCUGAAUAGGGCGUUUGAGUAUGUAGUCGUAGACCCGAAACCAUGUGAUCUACCCAUGUCCAGGUUGAAGGUGCGGUAAAACGCACUGGAGGACCGAACCCACGUACGUUGAAAAGUGCGGGGAUGAGGUGUGGGUAGCGGAGAAAUUCCAAACGAACUUGGAGAUAGCUGGUUCUCUCCGAAAUAGCUUUAGGGCUAGCCUCGGAAUUGAGAAUGAUGGAGGUAGAGCACUGUUUGGACUAGGGGCCCAUCUCGGGUUACCGAAUUCAGAUAAACUCCGAAUGCCAUUCAUUCAUAUCCGGGAGUCAGACUGUGAGUGAUAAGAUCCAUAGUCGAAAGGGAAACAGCCCAGACCACCAGCUAAGGUCCCAAAAUAUAUGUUAAGUGGAAAAGGAUGUGGGGUUGCACAGACAACUAGGAUGUUGGCUUAGAAGCAGCCACCAUUUAAAGAGUGCGUAAUAGCUCACUAGUCGAGUGACCCUGCGCCGAAAAUGUACCGGGGCUAAACAUAUUACCGAAGCUGUGGAGUACACCUUUAGGUGUAUUGGU